ACUGCUCAGUAACACGUGGACAACCUACCCUAUGGAGGGGGAUAACCCCGGGAAACUGGGGAUAAUACCCCAUAGACUAUAGAUGCUGGAAUGCUUUGUAGUUGAAAGGUCCGCCGCCAUAGGAUGGGUCUGCGGCCGAUUAGGUUGUUGUUGGGGUAACGGCCCAACAAGCCUGUAAUCGGUACGGGUUGUGGGAGCAAGAGCCCGGAGAUGGAUUCUGAGACACGAAUCCAGGCCCUACGGGGCGCAGCAGGCGCGAAAACUUUACAAUGCGGGAAACCGUGAUAAGGGAACUCCGAGUGCCCGUAAAAUCGGGCUGUCCAUCUGUUUAAAUAACAGGUGAAGAAAGGGCCGGGCAAGACCGGUGCCAGCCGCCGCGGUAAUACCGGCGGCUCGAGUGGUGGCCACUAUUACUGGGCUUAAAGCGUUCGUAGCUGGUCUGUUAAGUCUCUGGGGAAAUCUACUGGCUUAACCAAUAGGCGUCUCAGGGAUACUGGCAGACUAGGGACCGGGAGAGGUGAGAGGUACUCCAGGGGUAGGAGUGAAAUCCUGUAAUCCUUGGGGGACCACCUGUGGCGAAGGCGUCUCACCAGAACGGCUCCGACAGUGAGGGACGAAAGCUGGGGGAGCAAACCGGAUUAGAUACCCGGGUAGUCCCAGCCGUAAACGAUGCGCGUUAGGUGUAUCGGUGACCACGAGUCACCGACGUGCCGAAGAGAAAUCGUGAAACGUGCCGCCUGGGAAGUACGGUCGCAAGGCUGAAACUUAAAGGAAUUGGCGGGGGAGCAC
RNAcentral lists this ribosomal RNA (789 nucleotides) under uncultured archaeon. RNAcentral describes it as "bacterial SSU rRNA". It matches the Rfam family "Archaeal small subunit ribosomal RNA", at positions 85 to 879 of the family's 1478-position model. The record is from RNAcentral.